UCUGGUGCCAGCAGCCGCGGUAAUUCCAGCUCCAAUAGCGUAUAUUAAAGUUGUUGCAGUUAAAAAGCUCGUAGUUAAUCUUCUGUUAAUUUUUAUAUAUAAUAUCACGAUAUUUAUAUAAUAUUAACAUAAUUCAUAUUACUUUUUAGUAUAUGAAACUUUACUUUGAGAAAAUUAGAGUGCUUAAAGCAGGCUAUUGCCUUGAAUACUCCAGCAUGGAAUAAUAUUAAGGAUUUUUAUUCUUCUUAUUGGUUCUAGAAUAAAAAUGAUGAUUAAUAGGGACAGUUGGGGGCAUUUGUAUUUAACAGUCAGAGGUGAAAUUCUUAGAUUUGUUAAAGACAAACUACUGCGAAAGCAUUUGCCAAGGAUGUUUUCAUUAAUCAAGAACGAAAGUUAGGGGAUCGAAGACGAUCAGAUACCGUCGUAGUCUUAACCAUAAACUAUGCCAACUAGAGAUUGGAGGUUGUUCCUUACUC
Molecule: ribosomal RNA, 476 nt
Filed under: Cryptosporidium bovis
Lineage: Eukaryota; Apicomplexa; Conoidasida; Eucoccidiorida; Cryptosporidiidae
Description: SSU rRNA
Rfam family: Eukaryotic small subunit ribosomal RNA
Source: RNAcentral